CCACGGGUGGCAGCAGUGGGGAAUAUUGGACAAUGGGCGAAAGCCUGAUCCAGCCAUGCCGCGUGUGUGAAGAAGGCCUUCGGGUUGUAAAGCACUUUCAGUGGGGAAGAAAGCCUUGGGGCUAAUACCCUCGAGGAAGGACAUCACCCACAGAAGAAGCACCGGCUAACUCCGUGCCAGCAGCCGCGGUAAUACGGAGGGUGCGAGCGUUAAUCGGAAUUACUGGGCGUAAAGCGCGCGUAGGCGGUCUGAUAAGCCGGUUGUGAAAGCCCCGGGCUCAACCUGGGAACGGCAUCCGGAACUGUCAGGCUAGAGUGCAGGAGAGGAAGGUAGAAUUCCCGGUGUAGCGGUGAAAUGCGUAGAGAUCGGGAGGAAUACCAGUGGCGAAGGCGGCCUUCUGGACUGACACUGACGCUGAGGUGCGAAAGCGUGGGUAGCAAACAGGAUUAGAUACCCGAGUAGUC
This 464-nucleotide ribosomal RNA is filed under the name Vreelandella stevensii. RNAcentral describes it as "partial 16S ribosomal RNA". It matches the Rfam family "Bacterial small subunit ribosomal RNA", at positions 339 to 795 of the family's 1533-position model. Lineage: Bacteria; Pseudomonadati; Pseudomonadota; Gammaproteobacteria; Oceanospirillales; Halomonadaceae. The record is from RNAcentral.